This 1721-nucleotide long non-coding RNA is filed under the name Homo sapiens (human). RNAcentral's name for it is "long non-coding RNA NONHSAT039366.2". Lineage: Eukaryota; Metazoa; Chordata; Mammalia; Primates; Hominidae. The record is from RNAcentral.
GAGUCAGCUAGGCCCCUUCCUCCUCCAGUGCCUGUCUACCUAUGUUUGAUGCUUGGGGCUAGAAAGACUGACCUUGUAGCCCCUCACCUUCUCUCCCCAAUGCACUGGGCUGGUUCAGCAGCUGACCAAUGAGGGUCAUGCUUGCAUACUGGCCUUGGGUGAGUGGCUCAGGAACAGUUUGCAAGACCGUGUUGAAGCUACUUGUAACUAGACCAUUUUCCCAGCUUGACCAUGAGCUUCUUCAAGGCAUCUCUUCUCAGUCUCCACUGUAGCUCUGUGGGGAUGCUAACCCUGGCUUCCAAGGAUCUGAAGAGGAAGCUGCGGCUGUGACUGUCCCUUUUCGGUCUGUCUUCAUCCUGCCUGACUCACGGGUCUCCUGUCCUCCUGCAUAGCUUGCGGUGGUGAGGUGAUGGCAGCCAUGGACACAGGCCAGAGAGCUGACCCAAGCAAUCCUGGUGACAAGGAAGGGGACCUUCAAGGGCUGUGGCAGGAACUCUACCAGCUCCAGGCUAAGCAGAAGAAGCUCAAGAGAGAAGUCGAGAAGCACAAGCUUUUUGAAGACUAUCUGAUUAAGGUCCUUGAGAAAAUCCCCGAGGGCUGCACGGGAUGGGAGGAGCCGGAGGAGGUGCUGGUGGAGGCCACGGUGAAGCACUACGGGAAGCUCUUCACAGCCAGCCAGGACACGCAGAAGCGCCUCGAGGCCUUCUGCCAGAUGAUCCAGGCUGUCCACCGGAGCCUGGAGUCUCUGGAGGAGGACCACAGGGCUCUCAUAGCCUCAAGAUCCGGCUGUGUCAGCUGCAGAAGAAGUGCUACCGCAAGCAGGAGCAGUGGUGGCAGCUGAAGCACAGCAUCACUUACCAGAAGGACAUUGACUUUGACACACACACCAGCAGCAGCUAUAAUGAUCAGCUGCUCGGCUACAUGCAAAUGACCAUCACCAACAUGGCCCGGCAGUGCUGCCCCUCUGCCCACGGCGUGCCCAAGAGCAUGGAUCUCUUCUCCAAGCUCGAUCUGAUUAAGGGCGCUUGUGAGAGUUAAAGGAGAAGUAGGUCAGCCUUUGAUGAUGCUUUGGUACCUAGAAAGCAGCGUCCAGAGGCCAAAACACUGUCAGUGCAGAGGAUUAAGCUGGUGGCUCUCAGGUUUGAACACGCAUCAGGAGGCCCUGUAUCAAUGCAGAGUGUGGACCCACCUCCAGAGCUUCCAGGCCCUAGAAUCUGCAUUUCUAACAAGUCCCCAGAUGUGGCAGAUGCUGCUGGUCCUGGGGUUACAUUUUGAAAACCACUGCUUUAGAGUAAUGGCAAAUCCUACAUGCUGAAGCCAGGCACUGCUCCACUAGCACCACCUUCUACGCCCAGGGUGAAGUUCUGUGGCUUGUUGACUGUGCCUUCGAGGGCUCUAUGUCAUUCUGUCCCCUAUCACCUGCCUGCUGUGCACCUGUCGUGCUUGAUCUAGCUCAGACAUUUUGUCACACUCCUUGGGGAGGAGCGGGAUUGGAACAGUUGCUUGGCGUGGCAAUGGCCUGGCCACCAGUCGACAUUUGCAGCCAGCAUCUGGGUACCUUGGGAGCUCCCAGCCUCCCCUGGGCAGGGCUGGGGCCGUGAAUUGGACACGGCAUUGCGCUUAACAGCGCGGCUACCUCAGGCUGCUGGUUCUAUAUUAGCUGGAGAAAAACCUUCAAGGGCAUUUGGAGAAAAAAUAAAAAGCACUAGUUCAGGUACCUU